GAUUGAACGCUGGCGGCAGGCCUAACACAUGCAAGUCGAGCGGAUGAAGGGAGCUUGCUCCUGGAUUCAGCGGCGGACGGGUGAGUAAUGCCUAGGAAUCUGCCUGGUAGUGGGGGAUAACGUCCGGAAACGGGCGCUAAUACCGCAUACGUCCUGAGGGAGAAAGUGGGGGAUCUUCGGACCUCACGCUAUCAGAUGAGCUUAGGUCGGAUUAGCUAGUUGGUGGGGUAAAGGCCUACCAAGGCGACGAUCCGUAACUGGUCUGAGAGGAUGAUCAGUCACACUGGAACUGAGACACGGUCCAGACUCCUACGGGAGGCAGCAGUGGGGAAUAUUGGACAAUGGGCGAAAGCCUGAUCCAGCCAUGCCGCGUGUGUGAAGAAGGUCUUCGGAUUGUAAAGCACUUUAAGUUGGGAGGAAGGGCAGUAAGUUAAUACCUUGCUGUUUUGACGUUACCAACAGAAUAAGCACCGGCUAACUUCGUG
RNAcentral lists this ribosomal RNA (485 nucleotides) under uncultured bacterium. RNAcentral describes it as "partial 16S ribosomal RNA". It matches the Rfam family "Bacterial small subunit ribosomal RNA", at positions 27 to 507 of the family's 1533-position model. The record is from RNAcentral.